Sorex fumeus (smoky shrew) is the source of this 102-nucleotide small nuclear RNA. The record is from RefSeq and is a predicted model, not a curated record. Lineage: Eukaryota; Metazoa; Chordata; Mammalia; Eulipotyphla; Soricidae.
UUGCUUUGGCAGUAUGUAUACUAAAAUUGGAAUGAUAAAGAGAAGAUUAGCAUGGCCCCACACAAAGAUGACAUGCAAAUACACGAAGCUUUCGAUGAUUUU